UGGGGAAUAUUGGACAAUGGGCGAAAGCCUGAUCCAGCCAUGCCGCGUGUGUGAAGAAGGUCUUCGGAUUGUAAAGCACUUUAAGUUGGGAGGAAGGGUACUUACCUAAUACGUGAGUAUUUUGACGUUACCGACAGAAUAAGCACCGGCUAACUCUGUGCCAGCAGCCGCGGUAAUACAGAGGGUGCAAGCGUUAAUCGGAAUUACUGGGCGCAAAGCGCGCGUAGGUGGUUUGUUAAGUUGGAUGUGAAAGCCCCUGGCUCAACCUGGGAACUGCAUCCAAAACUGGACAGCUAGAGUAUGGUAGAGGGUGGUGGAAUUUCCGGUGUAGCGGUGAAAUGCGUAGAUAUUGGGAGGAACACCAGUGGCGAAGGCGACCACCUGGACUGAUACUGACACUGAGGUGCGAAAGCGUGGGGAGCAAACA
RNAcentral lists this ribosomal RNA (427 nucleotides) under uncultured bacterium. Its description in RNAcentral is "bacterial SSU rRNA". It matches the Rfam family "Bacterial small subunit ribosomal RNA", at positions 355 to 774 of the family's 1533-position model. The record is from RNAcentral.